UCAAGGAAGAAGAUUGGACGGUACUUGAUGAAUAAGCCACGGCUAAUUCCGUGCCAGCAGCCGCGGUAAUACGGGAGUGGCAAGCGUUAUCCGGAAUUAUUGGGGGUAAAGAGUCCGCAGGCGGUCUUGUAAAUCUGUCGUUAAAGCGGGGAGGUUAACUCCAUUUCAGCGAUGGAAACUGCAAGACUAGAGUGUGGUAGGGGCAGAGGGAAUUCCCGGUGUAGCGGUGAAAUGCGUAGAUUUCUG
Molecule: ribosomal RNA, 246 nt
Filed under: uncultured Synechococcus sp.
Lineage: Bacteria; Bacillati; Cyanobacteriota; Cyanophyceae; Synechococcales; Synechococcaceae
Description: partial 16S ribosomal RNA
Rfam family: Bacterial small subunit ribosomal RNA
Source: RNAcentral